This is a non-coding RNA of Petromyzon marinus (sea lamprey), 2018 nucleotides long. The record is from RefSeq and is a predicted model, not a curated record. Lineage: Eukaryota; Metazoa; Chordata; Hyperoartia; Petromyzontiformes; Petromyzontidae.
AUGUUAAUGUGAGGGAUUUAGCGUGGUGUUAACGUGAGAGAUUAGAAUGUAAGGGUAAGCUACGUGACUCUACCGAAAGAACCAAAGAAUAUGGAUUCCUGCAGUCACGAAAGCUCCAAAUCAAGAUUACUUUGUUCCAUCAAACCCUGUGUAGUUAUUAACAUUGUUAAAAACAUUUUACCAUCGAGAACCAAAGGGAGGGGUGCAAAGGCUGCAGUCAAGGUUAAGAACCACCAGUUGUUGUUGUUGAUGAUGAGCACGUGCAAACCAAACAAAAACACCUGUGAAUUUGGGCCUCCCGUGAGACGCUUUGCAGCUCAAGCUGAAGGGUUCUCGUGCACCGGAUGGACGGACAGAUGGACCGGACGGACGUCCAUCUGUCACGUGGUCGGGGAGGUCACGGUGGCUCUCGUGGAGUCGAUCCGAUAAGAUUGAAACUCUCGCGCGAAGUUGUGUCGCUGACGGGGGGGGGACUCGCGCUGGAGGAGGGCCGGACGCGUUGAUCGCAGGGUUAAUGCGUGAUCUCCGUGUGUCUCGUGCGUGUAACGCUGUGGAGGGGCGGGCGGUUCACGGUGGCUCUCGUGGAGUCGAUUCGACAUGAGCGUAACUCUAGCGGGAAGGUGUGUCGCCGACGGGGACUCCCGCUAGAGGAGGGCCGGACGCGUUGAUCGCAGGGUUAAUGCGUGAACUCCUUGUGGCCCGUCUUCUGUAACGUUUUGGGUUUUCUUCACGAUAGCUGUCGUAGACCUCCUUUGCCAGAAACAAGAUAUAGGAAUAGGAUUUACCCUUUUAACUGGCACAAAAACUGACACCUUUAUUCAAGGCAUCAUGUUUGCAAUAACCACAACACAAGCAGUCAAAAUGCAAACAAAAAAGAGACAACUCUGAUAAUAAUGAUGAGGCGCCCUCGUCGUCUGCUCCGUGAACGCUUGGCGCCACGAGCCGUGUCUCAUUCCAAGACGCCCCUUUAAACGCUACUGCCUGAUCGAGCGAAUGCCAUUUUAGCAGCGGCAAUAUACCGAAUGGUACUUCUUGGCAACAGUGGCCUUGACAACAAUGCUGUGGCUCAACCACAAUGGCAUGUCUUGACAACAACAACAUGUCUUUACAACAGAAUGAUGUGUCUUGUUAACGAUGAUAUGUCUUGACAACAGAAUGAUGUCUUGUUAACGAUGAUAUAUCUUGACAACAGAAUGAUGCGUCUUGUUAACAAUGAUAUGUCUUGACAACAGAAUGAUGUCUUGUUAGCGAUGAUAUGUCUUGACAACAGAAUGAUGCGUCUUGUUAACGAUGAUAUGUCUCGACAGCAGAUUGAUGCGUCUUGUUAACGAUGAUAUAUCUCGACAGCAGAAUGAUGUCUUGUUAACGAUUAUAUGUCUUGACAACAGAAUGAUGUGUCUUGUUAACGAUAUGUCUUGACAACAGAAUGAUGCGUCUUGUUAGCGAUGAUAUGUCUUGACAACAGAAUGAUGCGUCUUGUUAACGAUGAUAUGUCUUGACAACAGAAUGAUGCGUCUUGUUAACGAUGAUAUGUCUUGACAACAGAAUGAUGCGUCUUGUUAACGAUGAUAUAUCUUGACAACAGAAUGAUGCGUCUUGUUAACGAUGAUAUGUCUCGACAACAGAAUGAUGCGUCUUGUUAACGAUGAUAUGUCUUCGCAACAGAAUGAUGCAUCUUGUUAACGAUGAUAUGUCUCGACAACAGAAUGAUGCAUCUUGUUAACGAUGAUAUGUCUUGACAACAGAAUGAUGUCUUGUUAACGAUGAUAUGUCUUGACAGCAGAAUGAUGCGUCUUGUUAACGAUGAUAUGUCUUGACAACAGUGCCAAGCCUGGCCAAUAACAUGCCUUGACAAUAACAACAAUGACAUGCCUUGACAACAAUGACAUGCCUUAACAAUAACAACAAUGACAUGCCUUGACAAUAACAACAAUGACAUGCCUUGACAACAAUAACAUGCCUUGACGAUAACAACAAUGACAUGCCUUGACGAUAACAACAAUGACAUGCCUUAACAA